GCGAGAGUGGCGGAACUGGCAGACGCACUGGGUUUAGGGUCCAGCGGGAUGACCGUGGGGGUUCGAGUCCCCCCUCUCGCA
Molecule: transfer RNA, 81 nt
Filed under: Pseudomonadota bacterium
Lineage: Bacteria; Pseudomonadati; Pseudomonadota
Also listed under: 2 other names
Description: tRNA-Leu
Rfam family: tRNA
About the family: Transfer RNA (tRNA) molecules are approximately 80 nucleotides in length.
Source: RNAcentral